Molecule: long non-coding RNA, 5413 nt
Filed under: Phoenix dactylifera (date palm)
Lineage: Eukaryota; Viridiplantae; Streptophyta; Magnoliopsida; Arecales; Arecaceae
Description: long non-coding RNA (PDAC_LNC011416)
Source: RNAcentral
UCAUAAACCGGCUAUCAAAGCUCAAAUAAUCGAUACAAGUAUGUACAUCAAACAUCAAUAAAAGUCCAGCCACACAAGAAAAAUAUAGCAUAUGAUAGCUCAUAAACCUGUAUUAUAGUUUCAAUGUCUUUUCUUCAACUUGAUCUGGUUUAAUUAUCUUUUCGACUUUGGGUCAAAUCUCGGUCACAUUUCUCAGCCUGUGGUGGGGCAACCAAAUUAUCCCAUUUUCAGCCUGUGGCAGGGCCUGCACAAUAUAGUUCCACAUUUCUAGCCUGUGAUGGGGCCUGCCAAAGUAUCACAUUUUGAGCCUGUGGCGGGGCCUGCACAUUAUAGUUCCACAUUUCUAGCCUGUAGGGGGCCUGCCAAAGUAUCACAUUUUCAGCCUGUGGCGGGGCCUGCACAUUAUAGUUCCACAUUUCUAGCCUGUGAGGGGGCCUACCAAAGUACCACAUUUUUCAGCCUGUGACGGGGCCUGCCAUAAUAACAAGAUAAACCCAAAGUCUUUUUCAUACAAUCCAGUUUACAUCCACACAUCAAUUCANNNNNNNNNNNNNNNNNNNNNNNNNNNNNNNNNNNNNNNNNNNNNNNNNNNNNNNNNNNNNNNNNNNNNNNNNNNNNNNNNNNNNNNNNNNNNNNNNNNNNNNNNNNNNNNNNNNNNNNNNNNNNNNNNGCAUGCAUGCAUCCAUCAUAAUACCAACUACAAGCGAAUACGAUCAUAAUAUCAACCACAAGCCAAUACGAUCAAAAUAUAAUUUAAUAUAAAACUAUUUUUGAUUUGUCUGGAUCAUAGCAUAUCAUACAUAUCUAAGUAUAAAAAUAUUAUAUCAUGCAGGAUUGGCGUACAAGGAUCCUUACAGAGAUUGUAGACUGACUCAAAUACGGAUCCGAAUCACAACCUACGCGCUGGAGUGCUGAGUCCCCUGAUCAAAAUCUCCUGGCACCGCCGACUCGUCCUCUACAACAUCAAUUAUAAAUCACAACUAAAUUAUUUAAUAUUUAAAUAUUCUAAACCAUAAUUCAUAUCUACUAUGGGGUCCAUCAUCAGGUCCCCAAACAUCUCAAUCCCUCCAAAUCUAGGGCAGUCAGGGUGGCCCGACUCCCACUCUUGUACCACCGGUCUAUGUCGUCGCCAGCCGUGGCCGCUGCCACGUCAGCGAUGAUGGCCGGUCCCGGUGAAGAGACCAAAAGAAAGGGAUGAUCCGUCUCUCUUCAUGGUUGGGAAUACAUCUCCUCCCCUCAAAUCCUUUUUGAUCCAAGGGCAACAACCAUGGUGGCCGUGCCCUCUCCUUCCCCAACCCGACAACACUACUGGCCGAACCAUCGCCGGCUGCCACUUUUGCAGUCGCCGGUGAUGGUGGCCGGCCAAGAGAAAGGGGAAGAAGAGGUCUCCUCUUCUUCCUCCCAUGAACCCGCAAAAGGGGUCCCCCCCUUUCUCCAUCAUCAGCCGAAAUCCACUGUAGCAGUGGCUCGGCCCCCACCCGACAGCAACUCCCGUGGCCACGAUCGUCGCCGCCGUCGCUGCCGGUGGCCUGCUGCCGUCGCUGCCGCCGACGUGAGGGAAAGGGGAAGGAAAGAGGAGACGGAGUCUCGAGGAAGAAGACCCCGGAUCCAUCUCUCCCCUCUCCAAUAAACCCUAGAAAUCCCAAAAUAAUUCUCUCACAGUCCCAACCGACCAUAAUGCCAUGGUUCUCGGCCAACCCCGGCGGCCGGCGGCAGCCAAAAAUUGGAAAGAAGAGGCCGAAACAGGGGUACCCUGUUUCGGGCUCUUCUCCGACGAUUCACCGGCCAACUCUUCACCCAUGCCACCCAAAAUUCAGGAAAUAAAACACAAAGGAAGGAUUACCUGGUCCGGUGGGGCGAUCCGGCGAUCCUUCCGGCGAGAAAUCGGAGGAGGAACCGUGAGCAACUCCCCUCGGAUCCACGCUUCUUCACCCGUCGGAAUCUUCGGCGAAGGGAAGUGGUCUUCCUCCGCGGUCGGCCGGAUCUCGACGCUUGUCUCCUCUCCGGCAUCAACCCCUCCGGCGACCAACCUCUCCCCGGACGCUGCCGCCGCUCUCCCCCUCCCCCCCUUUUUUUUUGUGGUGUUUCUCCCCCACGAUCGUGCCCUAGGCACGAUCGUAAAUGGUGGAUGGGCCCGGUCUUUUCGGGCCGGCCCGUCCAUCUUUUUUUUUUUUGGUAUUACAUACUCUCCCCCUUUUAAAAAAUUUCAUCCUUGAAAUUAACUUACUUGAAGCCUCAAACUUUAUAAAUAUGCAUCCAUUAUAUCAUUCCCGAUAUUUCAAAUAGUCUCCCUCUCGGAGUACCUACUCACAAGAUUUUGACAUACAAAAAUUACAGCAUCUCAAAACUUGAUCCUUUCUAUUUACCCCACGUAGUUAAGUUUUUUUUUUUUUUUUGAUCUCCUUCAAAAGAAUUCCAAACUCCCAACCUUGGAUUAAAAUGCCAUAAUUAUAUCCCAAAGAAAUUAAUUUCUCUUAAUUCUACCCAAAGAGCAUAAUUAGCUUGACAGAAAUAGGAGAAAUCUUUAGUAUCAAAUGCUCUUAAUAUUUUAUAAUCAUUUUUCUUUUCUUAACUUUGCCUGUGAUUAAAUGAUCAACCUUUAUCCUAGAAAAACCGCAAACCUGUUCAAAUAGGUAUAUUAACAAUGUCAGAGCUAGGAGUUGAAGAACUAUGUUAAAUCAUUCCAGGCCCAAACUUAAUCACAGAGCUAUCAAACCGUUAACGUUAAAUUUGAGAUGCCCCAAAAUUCUUCUUAGAAUUAUCAAAAAUAGGAGAGCCCAUAACUACUUCCAGUAGGCAAAGAAUCAACGACAUUCCCCUCUACUAGAAAACUAACUCAAGUCUUCUAUAAUAAUACCCUUCAGAUCAAGGUAUUAUCAUUAUUAUUUUUUUUUCUAAUCGGUUUCAAAAUAACUCAAACCACUACACUUCCGCUGCGCACUCUGACCUAACUCAUCAAAUUCUUUAAAGUCACAAAAUGAUUUCUGACCAAAGCAUCACUUUGCACCGAGAUUAAAAAAAUCCAAAUUUUAAAUUUUUAAAUAGAACUAGAGCAAAACGUCUAGAUCUUUUUGUCCUCGAUUUAUAUAGAGUAUACUUACUAUAACUAACCCCCAAUCCUUUAGUCAAGUUUAAGGUCACUACGUGAUCUCCACAACCUUCUUAGAAUUCAAAAUAUCUAAGUUUAAUUUAAAGGGGGUAAUUCUUGUAUUCCCUUAGCAAUUUAAUUAGAAAAUCUACAUUGAUUUUCCUUCCAACAGAAUUUACUUCAAAUUCAAUGGGUUAAAAGUCAUUGAGCCAAUGUCACUAUGAGUAGAAAUUAACUCUAUCAAUCUUCAAAUCUUUCUUCACCAAGGUUCUUAAUAUCCAUCAACAAUGCUAUAUAUGAUAAUUCAUAUAAGCAUCUCAUGACCGGAGUCUUUACUCAAUAUGACAUUUAUUAGUGGCUUCAUCAACAAUGAUAAAAGAUCCCAGCUCAAAUCUUAAACCUAGGCUUUAGUUUUAAUUUAAAACAUCAAAUAGUCUUCUACGAUUAUAAGUAAAAUCCAGUAGCCCAAUCCAAAUAUGAGAAUUCAAAUAAUUAGAAUUCUCCCGUCAAUAUAUAUACUCUAUGGCUUCAAAAUAAUCAAAUACAUUAAUAGAAAAUAGACCUAUUUGCAAUAUUCAACAUGCCAAUACCAGAUAUAAUCCACAUACAUUUUCAACUUCGAAGAACAUUCCUUUCAAUAUUAUGAAAUCUCCUUAGCUCAUUCCAAUACUAUAGAAGAUCUACGUACAAAUCCCACUCUAAUAAUUAGCAGCAAAACCAAAAGUACGAUUACAUCAAAAUCUAUAUCAAGUUUGAACUUCCAGGUCAUUUAAAUAAUAUCUAAAUAUAGUAUAACCGAUAUGCCAUUGUUGACCUUCCUACAAUUAUCUUAGGUCAAACCUCUCUUAUCAUGAUCAAAGACAAUUUAUCCGGUCCUUGUAUACUUGUAGAAUAUCAAACCCAAUACUUACAUCAUAAGCAUUGAAUUUAAUUCUACUACUUUUGUCAUAUCCCAAGUGAUCAUAACCUUAAGCUAUAAUACAUUUUUGUCGCAAACCCAAGUGAUCUUAAUCUUAUGCUUUGGUUCUAAUUUUGUCACUAAUCCCAAUGAUCUUAAAUAUCAAACUUUAAUGCCACUAAGGCCACAGUCCCUAGUAGUCUUAAACCUUAGAUUACAAUAUCAUUCUUGUUACAAUCUCAGGUGAUUAUAAACCAAGACUCUGAUAGUUUUCCUAUCAUAAUUCCCCACUCACACUCACCUAAACCUAAAGCCUAGGAUACCUUAACCUGGCUCUGAUACCACUCUGUCACGCCCGAAACCCAGCACCUGGGGUCUGGUGCGCGACCGGCCGCAUGAGCCCUAGAGCAGUGCCCUAAAGAUCAUGCAAGGCCUAUGAUUAACAAAAAUUCCAAUAAAUCCACAACUAAUCUAGUAAUUCAAACAGAGCAGUCCGACAUGUCCAAAUAAACAAAUUAGUUCAAUUACAAGAUCUUCAAAUGUUAAUCGACAUCAAAGAAGGACAAACAAACUAACUAGCUAAUGACUCUGAUACUUGCACUCUGCGCCCAUCCCAUCCAAAUCUAAGCAUCCUGCAACUCUGAUAAAAAGAAAGAAGAAAAGGGGAUGAGCUUUACAGCCCAGUAAGAAUACCUACACAUUCACACCAACACAAUAAUAAUAAAAAUCUGAAAACCACGACAAGUUANNNNNNNNNNNNNNNNNNNNNNNNNNNNNNNNNNNNNNNNNNNNNNNNNNNNNNNNNNNNNNUAUCAAACAUCAAUAAAAGUCCAGCCACACAAGAAAUAUAUAGCAUAUGAUAGCUCAUAAACCUGUAUUAUAGUUUCAAUGUCUUUUCUUCAACUUGAUCCGGUUUAAUUAUCUUUCCAACUUUGGGUCAAAUCUUGGUCACAUUUCUCAGCCUGUGGUGGGGCAACCAAAUUAUCACAUUUUCAGCCUGUGGCGGGGCCUGCACAUUAUAGUUCCACAUUUCUAGCCUGUGAUGGGGCCUGCCAAAGUAUCACAUUUUCAGCCUGUGGCGGAGCCUGCACAUUAUAGUUCCACAUUUCUAGCCUGUGAGGGGGCCUACCAAAAUACCACAUUUUCAGCCUGUGGCGGGGCCUGCCAUAAUAACAAGAUAAACCCAAAGUUCCUUUUCAUACAAUCCAGUUUACAUCUACACAUCAAUUUUCUUUUAUUUAUUUCCGGCUAUAAACUAACCACAGUCACGUUUCCAGCCCGUGACGGGGCAACCAAUAUCAUAUGGUUAGUUUAGAGCACCACAUCCAUCAGUCAAAUUUUGCAGGUGUAGAUUAUGCGCUUGCAUGCAUCUAUCAUUAUACCAAUCACAAGCAAAGACGAUCAAAAUACAAUUUAAAUAUAAAAAC